UCUCCGUUGGUGAACCAGCGGAGGGAUCAUUAAAGAGUUCUAUAACUCCCAAACCCAUGUGAACAUACCUUACGUUGCCUCGGCAGGUCGCGCCUACCCCGUAACGUCCUACCCUGUAGGACCUACCCGGUAGACGCGGGUAAGCCUGCCGGCGGCCCACGAAACUCUGUUUAAUAUUGAAUUCUGAACCUAAAACUAAAUAAGUUAAAACUUUCAACAACGGAUCUCUUGGUUCUG
Molecule: unclassified non-coding RNA, 237 nt
Filed under: plant metagenome
Description: partial contains small subunit ribosomal RNA, internal transcribed spacer 1, and 5.8S ribosomal RNA
Source: RNAcentral